AUGUCCACUCCUACAAGUUCUCGGCUUGGCGAACAGCAAGACCGUGGCGGUCCAGCCAUUAGCGGGAGAGGACAAGGUUGUUUCCUGUCCAUGACCAAGACCAAGAAGCAGAACACCCCUGCCAAGCUCCAGCACAAGACUCUAAUGCGCAAGGAGUUCUGCAAGAUGGCCAAGUCUGUCAAGAACCAGAGUUGUGGCAUGGCAUGCUUGAUUUUUUGGUGGACUUGUGUCCCUGAUGAUGCACCGUUGUUGCACUGCCAACCAUCAGAUGCAGUAGCUGCUCCAGCUUGCUACCCCGCUGCCGCCGCUUGUUGUUUUUCUACUGCUCCUACUAGUUAG
Molecule: ribosomal RNA, 339 nt
Filed under: Triticum aestivum (bread wheat)
Lineage: Eukaryota; Viridiplantae; Streptophyta; Magnoliopsida; Poales; Poaceae
Description: partial small subunit ribosomal RNA
Source: RNAcentral